CAUGACCUGGAAGGACCAGCCUGGUACUCUUCUCAACCCUAUUCACUUUGUUUUGCUUGUGAAUUCUGGGAAAGCUUUGUUAGAUUCUGUGAACACCUGGGGAAAGUAGGGGUGGUCAGGACCCCCAUGGACCCUCACAGAGCAGGGUUUGCACAGACUAGUCGACCACUAGACUUUACUGCUCCAUGAUGACACUUCAAGAUUGAUGUCAUCUAGUCCCUGAAAAUGUGAUUGACACUGACAACAUGGAGGCCUCAGACAUGGCAACAAGUGGGGAGCCUGAUGAUUUGGUUUCUCUGGUUUCCUGAAGGCCAGCAGUGCAAUCCAGGGCUUAUUGAUAACAUUUCUCUGUCCAUCUACGUUGCUGUAAAGAUCAAAUAUGGAACGCUGUCAUCUCCAGGUUCCCGAAGACCACAAUAUAAAGUCGGGCGUUAUUAGAGAGAGGGCACAAAGUCCAAUAAUCCUGUAAUGUUUGAGGUUGGUUACUCUUAUCAGCCACUUACAGCAAUAUAAAGCUCUCCGCUGCCAGCGAGUGUCUCCGCAAUUUGCAGAUACAAAAGUGGAAGGGUUUUUCUGGUCCAGGUCUCUGUGCCAGUGACAUGUUAGGAAACUAUGGAUAGAUAAUAAUCAUAAACACGAGUAGACAAAGGCUUUAAUUAAAACAUUCAGGAUUGUAAGGUCUGUAAUGAAGGUCCCUAGGCAGCUAGAUAGAAAUCUUGAUUUAUUGUAAUAGUUAAGAACACUGUUGCUGGUAACAUGUAGAAUUUGAGUCUUUUUGUCAUUUAGCUUUAGUAAAAAAAGCGUUGGAGACCUCUUGUGUAAGGUAGUAAUGUUGAAUCUAUGAAUCU
Pygocentrus nattereri (red-bellied piranha) is the source of this 848-nucleotide long non-coding RNA. RefSeq lists it as uncharacterized. The record is from RefSeq and is a predicted model, not a curated record. NCBI's taxonomy places the organism in Eukaryota, Metazoa, Chordata, Actinopteri, Characiformes, Serrasalmidae. The transcript is spliced from 3 exons.